RNAcentral lists this ribosomal RNA (405 nucleotides) under uncultured bacterium. RNAcentral describes it as "bacterial SSU rRNA". It matches the Rfam family "Bacterial small subunit ribosomal RNA", at positions 355 to 776 of the family's 1533-position model. RNAcentral also lists the same sequence under 1 other name. The record is from RNAcentral.
UGGGGAAUCUUGCGCAAUGGGCGAAAGCCUGACGCAGCAACGCCGCGUGCGGGAAGAAGGCCUUAGGGUUGUAAACCGCUUUCAGCAGGGAAGAAAAUGACUGUACCUGCAGAAGAAGGUGCGGCCAACUACGUGCCAGCAGCCGCGGUGACACGUAGGCACCAAGCGUUGUCCGGAUUUAUUGGGCGUAAAGAGCUCGUAGGCGGUUCAGUUAGUUGGGUGUGAAAACUCCGGGCUUAACCCGGAGCCGCCACCCAAUACUGCUGUGACUAGAGUUCGGUAGGGGAGCGGGGAAUUCCUAGUGUAGCGGUGAAAUGCGCAGAUAUUAGGAGGAACACCGGUGGCGAAGGCGCCGCUCUGGGCCGAAACUGACGCUGAGGAGCGAAAGCAUGGGUAGCAAACAGG